GACGUGGGUGGCAAACGUUGUUCGGAAUCACUGGGCUUAAAGCGCACGUAGGUGGUUUGGUAAGUUCGGUGUGAAAGCCCCCGGCUCAACCGGGGAACUGCAUUGGAUACUGCCGAACUAGAGGGUUGGAGGGGAGACUGGAACUCCUGGUGGAGCGGUGAAAUGCGUAGAUAUCAGGAGGAACACAGGUGGCGAAGGCGAGUCUCUGGCCAAUCUCUGACACUGAGGUGCGAAAGCUAGGGGAGCAAACAGG
RNAcentral lists this ribosomal RNA (253 nucleotides) under uncultured bacterium. RNAcentral's name for it is "partial 16S ribosomal RNA". It matches the Rfam family "Bacterial small subunit ribosomal RNA", at positions 524 to 776 of the family's 1533-position model. The record is from RNAcentral.